UACGUAGGGUGCGAGCGUUGUCCGGAAUUACUGGGCGUAAAGAGCUCGUAGGUGGUUUGUCGCGUUGUUCGUGAAAACUCACAGCUUAACUGUGGGCGUGCGGGCGAUACGGGCAGACUGGAGUACUGCAGGGGAGACUGGAAUUCCUGGUGUAGCGGUGGAAUGCGCAGAUAUCAGGAGGAACGCCGGUGGCGAAGGCGGGUCUCUGGGCAGUAACUGACACUGAUGAACGAAAGCCAGGGGAGCAAACGGG
RNAcentral lists this ribosomal RNA (253 nucleotides) under uncultured bacterium. RNAcentral describes it as "partial 16S ribosomal RNA". It matches the Rfam family "Bacterial small subunit ribosomal RNA", at positions 524 to 776 of the family's 1533-position model. The record is from RNAcentral.